Podarcis muralis (Common wall lizard) is the source of this 860-nucleotide non-coding RNA. The record is from RefSeq and is a predicted model, not a curated record. NCBI's taxonomy places the organism in Eukaryota, Metazoa, Chordata, Lepidosauria, Squamata, Lacertidae.
CGAGGUCUCUCCGGCGCCUUCCCGUGCGCGCGUCCCACCGCCAGGCGGCUCUGCUCCGGCGCCUCGCCGAGGCUCCGCUCUUCCCUCUUCCCGUAUCCGCCGGGCGCAUCGGCGGCGGUGGGCAGAGCUUCCUGGAGCAGCCGCAGCGAGAUCUGCCCAAGAGCGCCCUUCCAAAUGGCAAUAACAGGGAAACAUUCUGGAAAUAUUGAAGAAUAGCUACUGAAGCACAGUGGAUUGUGUGGAUAAAGGAGGAGCCAUUGACGGGCUGUGUCUGGAUGCAGCGUGACAUUUGCUGUUGGGGAGAAGAUGAGGGAAAGAGAAGAGAGGCAGAAUCAGCCAAGAGGCAGAGACGGACAUCUUGAUCCAAGAAACACUCGGAAUAACCAAAUUUCCUCUCUGAUAAAUGGGGAUUCCUCACGUUUCAUUCAGGAUUGGGAUCCUCCCCCCCUUUCUGCCAGGCUCACCUCUGAAUAAAUUCCUUCCCCAGCAGGUUUGUAUCCCUCCUGUCAAUCAAGUCACCCUACAAGAAGCAAAACAGCCCAGAAAAUAUUCACUCAGCUCUUCUAUGCAGUGAAGGGGAGGAGGGAUGGAUGGGGGCAAGAGGAGAAAAAUGGUCCUCCUUUGAAUCUCUCCAUGUGAAUUGCCCAUUUGGGGCUUUCAGAGGCUUACAUUGAAAUGAGAGAGAAGAAAUCAAUGUAGGCAACCUAACAAAUGUCUGUCCCUUGAAAACCUCCAGGAUAACCAGAAGGAAACUGCUGCUCCUAUUGCUGUUUGUGGGAAAAGUAAAUAAAACACAGUAAGAGCCUGGAAUGUUCAGACUAAUACAUUGUCGGGUGUAAAAUCCUUGCAGUAAUCCUACC